GUCAGCGGGUGGACGCGGGCCAGGGGGGCUGGGAACGUGUCUGAGUGUGUGAGUGAGAGGUGGCGUGCGUGUGUGGGCCAGUGUGAGGGCACACGUGUGCACACGUGCUGUGACCGCAGUCGGGACCAGGGUAGACGCAGGUUCUCAUGUGGGGUCUGAGGGGGCCCGACUUUGGACACUGAGGAUGGGGCGGGGCUGAGAGGCUGCAGACGGGCCGCCCAGUGCUGGGCUCCUGCGGAGUGCAGGGCGGGCACUGGAGCUGCGGAGCCGGUUCAGGGCCCCAGGAGGACAGGCAGCUCAGGACGACAGUGACAGCUGCUGCUUCCACUGGCCGGGGGUGGCCGUCAGUGCCUCUCACCCCACAAGCAACAGACAGCCCACACAUCGCAGUUCAGACGCAGGGCAGCACGUGACACAGCCAAGCUGGUUUGAGAGCAGGGCCGUCCUGACUCUUAGAGGACACAGGACAUCGGCUCCGGGGCCGUCCAUUGGGAAAGGAUGUACCUGGAGCCAGGGCAGGACAAGGUCAGGACAAGGCCCCAUGGCGGGGCAGGGUAGGGGCCCGACUCCACGGAGCUCUGUGGCCUGGGUCUCACGUUCGAGAAGAGCCUCCAAGUUCGGACUUCGGGCAUCUCUUCCGAUGAGGCAACACCUCCAGUCGCCGUAACUCAGGUGAAAUGGGAAAAAAAAGGUGUGACCACCUAAUUCACCGCCAUGGCUCCCAGAGAUGGCAAGAUGCCCGAGGGCGUGUCUGUGGGGUCCCCGUGAUCCCAGGGCCUGGCACGCUGGAAGCUGUCUUGACGCAGAUGUGGUCACAGAGGUGCAGCGUGGCCCGUGACUUGCUCAGAGCCACACAGAAGUGCAGAGCGGAACAGAACAGUCGCCUGCCAUGGGGUGCCUCAUCCACACACCUUCCAACUCAGCAAGGAGGGUGGGGCUCAGAGGGGAGCCACUGUCGGUGAACUCCGGCACCCCCCGCCACCCAGCCGUCCGACCC
This 997-nucleotide long non-coding RNA is filed under the name Equus caballus (horse). Its description in RNAcentral is "lncRNA (ENSECAG00000049457.1)". Lineage: Eukaryota; Metazoa; Chordata; Mammalia; Perissodactyla; Equidae. The record is from RNAcentral.